RNAcentral lists this ribosomal RNA (547 nucleotides) under uncultured Caldimonas sp. Its description in RNAcentral is "bacterial SSU rRNA". It matches the Rfam family "Bacterial small subunit ribosomal RNA", at positions 354 to 894 of the family's 1533-position model. Lineage: Bacteria; Pseudomonadati; Pseudomonadota; Betaproteobacteria; Burkholderiales; Sphaerotilaceae. The record is from RNAcentral.
GUGGGGAAUUUUGGACAAUGGGGGCAACCCUGAUCCAGCCAUGCCGCGUGCGGGAAGAAGGCCUUCGGGUUGUAAACCGCUUUUGUUCGGGAAGAAAUCCUCUGGGCUAAUACCCCGGGGGGAUGACGGUACCGGAAGAAUAAGCACCGGCUAACUACGUGCCAGCAGCCGCGGUAAUACGUAGGGUGCGAGCGUUAAUCGGAAUUACUGGGCGUAAAGCGUGCGCGGGCGGUUGUGCAAGACAGAUGUGAAAUCCCCGGGCUUAACCUGGGAACUGCAUUUGUGACUGCACGGCUAGAGUGCGGCAGAGGGGAGUGGAAUUCCGCGUGUAGCAGUGAAAUGCGUAGAUAUGCGGAGGAACACCGAUGGCGAAGGCAGCUCCCUGGGCCUGCACUGACGCUCAUGCACGAAAGCGUGGGGAGCAAACAGGAUUAGAUACCCUGGUAGUCCACGCCCUAAACGAUGUCAACUGGUUGUUGGUCCUUCACUGGAUCAGUAACGUAGCUAACGCGUGAAGUUGACCGCCUGGGGAGUAGGGCCGCAAGGU